RNAcentral lists this unclassified non-coding RNA (974 nucleotides) under Dimorphilus gyrociliatus. RNAcentral describes it as "dgyrCDS13994". Lineage: Eukaryota; Metazoa; Annelida; Polychaeta; Dinophilidae. The record is from RNAcentral.
CUCUGAUUAAAAAUACUAAAUAAAUAUAUAUUUACACAUAUGCCUACAUUUUUCGAAAAGCUCCUGUCAACAGAAUAGAAAUUUGAGUUCAAAUUGCGCUAUUCACUAUUUACAAACAAUGAAUAAUAUAGUUGGAUUAAAAGCUAAAACCUCUAUUUGGAAAGGUUGGUUUGAUUGGCUACCGUAUUUUUUUAAAAGAAAAAGAAAGAAAGAUUUAAUAUGGGAAGAUCGAAAAGAUAAAUUUGAUAAAAUUGAUGAAAAGAAUAAAUAUCGCAGAGAUAUAUAUAUAAAUUGUAGAAUACUAUUCGAAUAUGAUUUAAAUAUAUCAUUGGCAAAACGUAUUGAGUUAAUCAAGUGGGUUAACUAUCUCUUGUAUUCGUAAUUGUUUAAGAAUUUUUGUAACAUGUUUGUAUAUAAAUAGAGAAAUAGGUAUACUUUGUUACAUGGGUGGUUUAGAGGCUGGUAAUGCGUUGUCAAUCUAUAUUAGCAAAUUUCUAAAAAUGCUAGAAUCAAAGGAUAUUGAUCAUAAUAUUAAGAUAGAAAUUAUCCGAAUGUUAAGUACGAGUGUUUGCGAUAAUAAGACUGUUCAUGAAAGUCUGAUGAAUAAUAAUGCUAUUAGUCUAUUUAUUGACAUAGUAAAGGAAGGGGAUAAAUUGGCGAGGUGGAUUUGCUAUACUAUAUUACUAAUGACAAGAGAUAAUGAUGAUUUAUUGGUUUCCCUACCAGAUUUCCCUGAUUUUUUUCAAACUAUUAGCUAUGCUGAAUCAUUAAGCUGGGAAGGCUGGCAAUAUAAUAUAGCCCGUGUUUUACUGCAGAUUGCAGGCCUACAAAAACCUAAUUUUGAUCUUUUACGAAGUAUCGAAACAGAUUAUGGGUAUUAUGACGAAACGUUAGAUAAAAGAGCAGAUGGCAGACGUCGUAGACGUCAUAAAUAUCGUAAUACCGAUGCAAAACCUAAAAUAGAUAAUGAUUAA